GGUCUCGUAGCUCAGUUGGUUAGAGCAUUGGUCUUAUGAGCCGAAGGUCGCGGGUUCAAGCCCCGUCGGGACCA
RNAcentral lists this transfer RNA (74 nucleotides) under Manihot esculenta (cassava). RNAcentral's name for it is "tRNA-Ile (TAT) (tRNA-Ile-TAT-5-1)". It matches the Rfam family "tRNA". From Rfam's summary of the family: Transfer RNA (tRNA) molecules are approximately 80 nucleotides in length. The record is from Rfam by way of RNAcentral. Lineage: Eukaryota; Viridiplantae; Streptophyta; Magnoliopsida; Malpighiales; Euphorbiaceae.